CUACACUUUUGAGUGUGAGAUUUCUUUUUUGAACCUAUUGACUCUCUCAUGGUUUUGCCUUCUUAUUAUUUAAAAACUUUAAUUGUGUAUUCUUCAGUGAAAAUUGUCAACACGUGAGAGUCCUGUGCUUGACCUAGGUUGUAGAGGCAGCAAUUUUUUACCCAAGUUUAUUUCUGUCAUAUUCCUACGGGUUUAAUUGGUUCUGGUUAUUCCUUUGUUUGCUUCUUGACACAGGUUUCUUUACCUUAGGAGUAAGUGUGAGUUUGGGUUCCACACUUUUUGUACAGGGUGGAUAUUCUUUUUCAUCUCAUGGCCCAGAGCAUGUGGCCUGUAUCUGUGUUACAUUUCCAUGCCAGAGGGCAGAUUUUGUUUUUCUAUUUCACUAACUCUAGCUCUCUUUUCAUGGAAGAGACAACUCCUUUGUUUUUUUUUUUUUUAAAGAUUUUAUUUUUUCCUUUUUCUCCCCAAAGCCCCCCAGUACAUAGUUGUAUAUUUCUCGUUGUGGGUUCUUCUAGUUGUGGUAUGUGGGACGCCGCCUCAGCGUGGUCUGACGAGCAGUGCCAUGUCCGCGCCCAGGAUUCGAACCAACGAAACACUGGGACGCCUGCAGCGGAGCGCGCGAACUUAACCACUCGGCCACGGGGCCAGCCCCGAGACAACUCCUUUCUGGUUCCUGGAUUUGUGGAUAAACUCUGGCUUCUAAGUUCUCGCUUCUUCCCUUGUACAAGCCACAAGAAUUCUGGUGAGUUCCAGGUGAUUAGGAAGAGACCACAGAAAACACGUGUAUGUGUGUGCAAACACACGCAAACACAUAUAGUAUGAGUAAAUGAAGUUUCCGGCUUAACUAGAGCAAAGACAGUGACUUGUACCUGCCAGAUCUGAGGUGCUCAGUUCUCAUCACUUUAUGCUCACCAUUUGGAGUGCUUUAUACCAACACACUAGAAUGUAGCUGCUGCGGAAGUAGUGGACUCAGACAUCGUCCUUGUCUCAGGUGGAGUUCACGGCCUGUAAGAAAAAAUGCAUGAAUGCCCUUAAGCUUAAUAUCACCUCUCCUGGAAAUUGCUGGACUGAGGAUUGAACUCAGCUCUUAUAAGGUCAAAUAAUAUAAUAUACAGCAUCUGCAGCAAGUUUGCAUGCUUUUUCCUCUGGAACCUCCAGGCUUCAUCAGGCCAUGAUGAGUCAGAUGCAUUUAGACGUGAUCCGGUGUGUUGGCAUGCAGAAAGUGGGUGAUUGGGCCGACAGACGUAUCCGUUGAAGCAGUACUAAGGAGCUUCUAUGCUACAAACACAGGACUUCUGAUAAAAUUCUGAUGUAAUUUUCAUAAAGAAAUAAAGUAUGUGACACAUUUAUGGUUUACAUGCUGCAUUAUUGAGUACAUUCUUUACCUGAUCAGAGAGAACUCACAUUUUGUCUUGGCAUUGAUGAGAAGCGAAUCUUUCACCUAUAACUUUACAUGUUUGGGGAUUGGAAAACUAUCUAAAAGCUAGUUUCUGGUCAUUCACUUCUUUCUCUCUUUUUCCUGCUCUGCUACCCACAUACUUCUGGUCCUAGGCCUUCAAAAACAUGUUCAUGUCAUGGUACCACCUCUGGAUCUGUCAGUAGUUGGUAGGAGGACUUCUGGGAGCCAUCGUACGGAUUGCAAUAACUUAACCGUACACAGAAAUCAUGACAAAUCCGAAAACUGUGCUCCAGUAAAUCUAAACUAAAUGUGUCUCCAAAUAAUUUCCCCUUGGCUGGAUCUCAAAAAUAUCUUUGGCUACUCUCUUGUCAUCCAAAAUCAGAGGAUAGAAAUGGAGUAGAAGGAGACAGAUUUCUUAACAAAAUUCAGCUAAAAUAUUUAAUUUUACAAGAUUUUGCAAAACCACAUAACCUUCAGGGUCAUGGAAGGGGCGGAUAAAAGUGAGGUAUGCUGAAGUUUCAAUAGUUUUACAGCAGACCUGACUCUAGGCAGUGCUAAAAUUUUAAAGAUGUAGAUUUUGCAUCUGGAGUUGAAAUCCUUGACUCUCCCUUGUUGGAUAAAAGUGUAAAAGCAGACGAAUGACUGAGGUUAUUUUCAAGUGUAAAAUUUCCCUGUAAUUUGUCAGCCGGUUGGCCAUUCUUUAUGGGUCUCAUUUAUGUGUACAGUGCUGUGUUGUUUUGUCACAGUCUACAGGACACCCCUAGUUUGCUAUGUGUCGGUUGCUAACACUUUCCAAUAGUUAAUGGCCAUGCUAUACUACUUUAAUUUACUUAAAGGUUUAGUAACUUCCUUCUGCUCACCUUAUUAAGUGUGCUGAGAAGG
This 2281-nucleotide long non-coding RNA is filed under the name Equus caballus (horse). Its description in RNAcentral is "lncRNA (ENSECAG00000055532.1)". Lineage: Eukaryota; Metazoa; Chordata; Mammalia; Perissodactyla; Equidae. The record is from RNAcentral.